Small nucleolar RNA from Hibiscus syriacus, 107 nucleotides. The record is from RefSeq and is a predicted model, not a curated record. NCBI's taxonomy places the organism in Eukaryota, Viridiplantae, Streptophyta, Magnoliopsida, Malvales, Malvaceae.
AAACCAUGCAUCGGACAUUUACGCAGUAAGUCCUUGAAACGUUCACAUGCCUCAUAUAAAUUCUCAUAUUCUAAUUUCUUGAAAGUUGUCAAGCCAUUUCUCAGGUU